AUGGCUGUCGUCAGCUCGUGUCGUGAGAUGUUGGGUUAAGUCCCGCAACGAGCGCAACCCUUGUCCUAUGUUGCCAGCGGGUAAUGCCGGGGACUCGUAGGAGACUGCCGGGGUCAACUCGGAGGAAGGUGGGGACGACGUCAAGUCAUCAUGCCCCUUACGUCCAGGGCUGCACACAUGCUACAAUGGCCGGUACAGAGGGCUGCUAUCCCGCGAGGGUGAGCGAAUCCCAAAAAGCCGGUCUCAGUUCGGAUUGCAGUCUGCAACUCGACUGCAUGAAGUCGGAGUCGCUAGUAAUCCCGGAUCAGCAACGCCGGGGUGAAUACGUUCCCGGGCCUUGUACACACCGCCCGUCAAACCACGAAAGUCGGCAACACCCGAAGCCGGUGACCCAACCUUAGGGAGGGAGCCGUCGAAGGUGGGGUUGGUGAUUGGGGUUAAGUCGUAACAAGGUAGCCGUAUCGGAAGGUGCGGCUGGAUCACCUCCUUUAGAGCAACGAUCUGUCCAGUUGACAGGCGUCCGCACAAGUACCCUGCAUUCCACAACCUGAUCCCUCCUGGGUCUGUAGCUCAGGUGGUUAGAGCGCACCCCUGAUAAGGGUGAGGCCGGAGGUUCGAGUCCUCCCAGACCCACCACGGGAUCUUGGGACGGCUCAGGGCCGAUCAUGGGGCCAUAGCUCAGCUGGGAGAGCACCUGCUUUGCAAGCAGGGGGUCGUCGGUUCGAUCCCGACUGGCUCCACAGAGCUCUUUCACGCGGAUCCGUCCGCGAGAAGCCUGACCGCACAUCCGUGUGCGGACUGUCCGGAAGAGCUGGCUCUAGGUACACCCUGUGGAAUGACACUGCGCACACACUUUAUAUGCCGAAGCUUUGUAGCUUCGGCGUGUUCUUUGACAAUUCGGGACGUAAUGAGCGUUUGAGACGAAGUCUCACACGUGUCGUAGAGGCUAAGGCGAAGUAAUGAUGUGUGUUGAUACACCCUUAAGGCGACUUGGGGUUAUAUGGUCAAGCGAAUAAGCGCACACGGUGGAUGCCUUGGCGGUCAGAGGCGAUGAAGGACGUGGCAGCCUGCGAAAAGCUCCGGGGAGCUGGCAACAAGCAUUGAUCCGGAGAUGUCCGAAUGGGGAAACCCGG
Molecule: small RNA, 1133 nt
Filed under: uncultured Acidimicrobiales bacterium
Lineage: Bacteria; Bacillati; Actinomycetota; Acidimicrobiia; Acidimicrobiales
Description: bacterial SSU rRNA
Rfam family: Bacterial small subunit ribosomal RNA (bases 1-490)
Source: RNAcentral